RNAcentral lists this ribosomal RNA (253 nucleotides) under uncultured bacterium. RNAcentral's name for it is "partial 16S ribosomal RNA". It matches the Rfam family "Bacterial small subunit ribosomal RNA", at positions 524 to 776 of the family's 1533-position model. The record is from RNAcentral.
UACGUAGGGCGCAAGCGUUGUCCGGAAUUAUUGGGCGUAAAGAGCUCGUAGGUGGUUUGUUACGUCUGCUGUGAAAACCUAGGGCUUAACCCUGGGCCUGCAGUGGAUACGGGCAGACUAGAGGUAGGUAGGGGAGAAUGGAAUUCCCGGUGUAGCGGUGAAAUGCGCAGAUAUCGGGAAGAACACCCGUGGCGAAGGCGGCUCUCUGGGACGGUACUGACGCUGAGACGCGAAAGCGUGGGGAGCGAACAGG